Molecule: long non-coding RNA, 1250 nt
Filed under: Homo sapiens (human)
Lineage: Eukaryota; Metazoa; Chordata; Mammalia; Primates; Hominidae
Description: HSALNT0371438
Source: RNAcentral
CUAGGAUUGGGGUGGGGUUCAUCCCACCCAGACCACAGAGACUGAAAAUAAGAAAGGGGUGAGGCCUAAGGGACAAUCAGGAUGUUUUUCAGAGAGAAGUGUGGAUGCUGGACAGGAAGAACCACAGAUACCAGAUACGGAAAAGGAAGAAUCAACACUUUCAGAGAUGGAGCCUGUUGAGCCACAGUACCAACUAGUCAAUGCUGAAUCGACUUCUCCCUUUCUACAUUGCCUGAGAGAAGUCAUUGGGGAAUACUCUGUACACGAAUUUUCACUGUUGGGGAAAACAGAGAGUCAAGGGAUUGGAUUGUGGAUUGCAUUGGUGGUUUUCCUCAGUUUCCUCAUCUUCUCCACAAGUUUCUACAUAUCGAAUGCAGAGCAGCCCUUCUUCAAAGGACCUCCUACGGAAGCUGCUAAGGAACUCAGUCUGUAGCUCUGCGUGGAGCCAUGUGUAAACACUGAACUGAGACCUGCCACCUCCUACUACCUAAGGGCCCAUUUUCAUCUGAUAUCAUCCCCCAGAAACAAACUCAUGAUGACUUCCAUGUUUUUUUUAGAUUAGAUACAUGGAGAAUUUUCCUUUCCCUUAGAAUUAAAAUCCUGCAUUCUAAUUUUCAGGUAAAACUUUUUCGUCUCUACAGAACUCUCUCCAAGUGCACACCCAUAGAUUGGUUUGCUUGUGGAAUCCUAGCAUAUCAGAAAUGAAGGAAUCUCAGAAAUUGUUUUCAUCAAACACCUCAUAUGCAGAAGGCAAAAUGAAGGUUCAGAGCAGAAAUGAUUUGUCCAAGGAUGCAACACUCAUCUGCAGCAGAGGGAAGCUGAGCUCUGCAGACCCACCUAGCACUGCAGAGGCAGCCCUCUAGGACAAGGCUUCAUAAAAAAGUGACUUUAUGAGUUGGCUCCAUAAAAAAGAUACAGAUUAAGAAAUUGUUUAAACAGUGAUCUCUAUAUAAUUACUCUUUUAUUUAAAAGUAUGGGCUGGGAGCGGUGGCUGACGCCUGUAAUCCCAGCACUUUGGGAGGCCGAUGUGAGCAGAUAACCUGAGGUCGGGAGUUAGAGACCAGCCUGACCAACAUGGAGAAACUCCGUCUCUACUAAAAAUACAAAAUUAGCAGGGUGUGGUGGUGCAUGCCUGUAAUCCCAGCUACUCGGGAGGCUGAGGCAGGAGAACUGCUUGAACCCAGGAGGCAGAGGUUGUGGUGAGCCGAGAUCGCGCCAUUGCACUCCAGCCUGGGCAACAAGAGCGAAAC